GCUUACCGUAUCUAUUAUGAAGUUUUCCAUAUUUGAACCAUCCUGACAAAACUGAAACCUGACAGAUUAUUGUUGUCAAUGGUGACUGACUUCUUCCAGCAUAUGAACAAAUUUGGGAAGGAACAUACACUGGACCUGGUCCAGUCAAGGGCUAUUUUGACCACUACAUCUGAAUCCAUCCAUAUCAACACUGCAAUAUUAAAUGAAUAAUGGACCCAUAAUUAUGCGUCACAUAUU
This is a long non-coding RNA of Saccostrea cuccullata (small rock oyster), 237 nucleotides long. RefSeq lists it as uncharacterized. The record is from RefSeq and is a predicted model, not a curated record. The transcript is spliced from 3 exons. NCBI's taxonomy places the organism in Eukaryota, Metazoa, Mollusca, Bivalvia, Ostreida, Ostreidae.